UCCCGGUUCACCCGGGCAGUCUCGCUAGAGUUCCCAUCUUUACAUGCUGGCAACUAACGAUAAGGGUUGCGCUCGUUGCGGGACUUAACCCAACACCUCACGGCACGAGCUGACGACAGCCAUGCAGCACCUGUUCAGCAGCCCCGAAGGGAAUUUGCAUUUCUGCAAACGUCUACUGUAUGUCAAGACCAGGUAAGGUUCUUCGCGUUGCAUCGAAUUAAACCACAUGCUCCACUGCUUGUGCGGGUCCCCGUCAAUUCUUUUGAGUUUUACCCUUGCGAGCGUACUCCCCAGGCGGUGUACUUAUCGCGUUAGCUUCGGCACAACUGGGGUUGAGUCCAGUUACACCAAGUACACAUCGUUUACGGCAAGGACUAC
RNAcentral lists this unclassified non-coding RNA (378 nucleotides) under uncultured Chlamydiales bacterium. RNAcentral describes it as "contains 16S-23S intergenic spacer region". The record is from RNAcentral. Lineage: Bacteria; Pseudomonadati; Chlamydiota; Chlamydiia; Chlamydiales.